RNAcentral lists this ribosomal RNA (496 nucleotides) under uncultured bacterium. RNAcentral describes it as "partial 16S ribosomal RNA". It matches the Rfam family "Bacterial small subunit ribosomal RNA", at positions 28 to 506 of the family's 1533-position model. The record is from RNAcentral.
GAUGAACGCUGGCGGCGUGCCUAAUACAUGCAAGUCGAGCGAACAGACGAGGAGCUUGCUCCUCUGACGUUAGCGGCGGACGGGUGAGUAACACGUGGAUAACCUACCUAUAAGACUGGGAUAACUUCGGGAAACCGGAGCUAAUACCGGAUAAUAUAUUGAACCGCAUGGUUCAAUAGUGAAAGACGGUUUUGCUGUCACUUAUAGAUGGAUCCGCGCCGCAUUAGCUAGUUGGUAAGGUAACGGCUUACCAAGGCAACGAUGCGUAGCCGACCUGAGAGGGUGAUAGGCCACACUGGAACUGAGACACGGUCCAGACUCCUACGGAAGGCAGCAGUAGGGAAUCUUCCGCAAUGGGCGAAAGCCUGACGGAGCAACGCCGCGUGAGUGAUGAAGGUCUUCGGAUCGUAAAACUCUGUUAUUAGGGAAGAACAAAUGUGUAAGUAACUAUGCACGUCUUGACGGUACCUAAUCAGAAAGCCACGGCUAACUACGU